Molecule: ribosomal RNA, 484 nt
Filed under: uncultured bacterium
Lineage: Bacteria
Description: partial 16S ribosomal RNA
Rfam family: Bacterial small subunit ribosomal RNA
Source: RNAcentral
AUUGAACGCUGGCGGCAGGCCUAACACAUGCAAGUCGAGCGGAUGAAGGGAGCUUGCUCCUGGAUUCAGCGGCGGACGGGUGAGUAAUGCCUAGGAAUCUGCCUGGUAGUGGGGGAUAACGUCCGGAAACGGGCGCUAAUACCGCAUACGUCCUGAGGGAGAAAGUGGGGGAUCUUCGGACCUCACGCUAUCAGAUGAGCCUAGGUCGGAUUAGCUAGUUGGUGGGGUAAAGGCCUACCAAGGCGACGAUCCGUAACUGGUCUGAGAGGAUGAUCAGUCACACUGGAACUGAGACACGGUCCGAACUCCUACGGGAGGCAGCAGUAGGGAAUAUUGGACAAUGGGCGAAAGCCUGAUCCAGCCAAGCCGCGUGUGUGAGGAAGGUCUUCGGAUUGUAAAGCACUUUAAGCUGGGAGGAAGGGCAGUAAGUUAAUACCUUGCUGUUUUGACGUUACCAACAGAAUAAGCACCGGCUAACUUCGUG